CUACAUCUACAUGUGCUCUGCUAGGUUUUUAGGACACUUUGAUAAAUCCUUACCCUUCAUUUCUUAAAACCUUGAGCCUUGGCCCCAUUACAACCCUAAAUAAGACCUUCUUGAUCCUUAAGAUGGGACAGCCUUUGAUUUGUGGAGAUGAGUUACAAGAGUUGAACCUAUGGCUUGGGUCCAUCCGUGCAAGUAGUUGAUAUCCUUCAUGAGAUCUUUUCAAAAAAAAAAUUAUAUUCACAAAGUGCUUUUCGUUUCUUAUAUAUGUGAGCUAUUUGAUUGCCUCAAAAUAUUUUCUCUCACAUAUAAUUGAGUGAUUAUAAGCUUUUAAGCAUUGUCUUGAAUUCUGAGAGAAGAAAGAGUGGAUAUACCUUGUGAGGAUAUGAAUCAUACUUGUUCGAAGCAUGCUUAACAGAAACCAUCACCAUUAUUACAACCAAGUCCUACUUGUGUAUUUGAGUGCUAAUCUUGAUGUAGUGAAAGUAGGAGAUUUCUGAGACAAAAAGUUGAAGGGCAAUAGAGUCAUUGUUUUUGUAGAGUCUUUAAUUUUCGUUGAGUAUUAGUGUGUGUCUUAGUGUGAUUUUGCUAAGGGACUAGCAAAAGCUAAGUGUGGGGGAAUUUGAUAGGAGCAUUUUAAUGCGACGUUUUAACUGCAUUUCCCUACAUUUCUUACGUUAUUUCCUUAUUAAAAUCCUGUUUAGGAAAGUUUCCAUUCUUUGAUUGGGAAAGUUCCUAUUUGUAGAAAGUUUAUAUUUUUGUAGUUUCUAUUUAUCAUUUUUAGUAAGUUGCCAUUUUUCAUUUUAGGAAAGUUUCUAUUUUUCUUAUUAGUUUCUAUUUUUUUAGGACCUCCAAGCAAGUGGAAAAUCUUGAGGAGGAAAAUCAAAGUU
Molecule: long non-coding RNA, 887 nt
Filed under: Rosa chinensis
Lineage: Eukaryota; Viridiplantae; Streptophyta; Magnoliopsida; Rosales; Rosaceae
Description: sRNA RchiOBHm_Chr2g0128031
Source: RNAcentral